CAGUUCGGAUUGAAGGCUGAAAUUCGCCUUCAUGAAGCUGGAAUUGCUAGUAAUGGCAGGUCAGCAUACUGCCGUGAAUACGUUCCCGGGCCCUUGUACACACCGCCCGUCACACCAUGAGAGUUGGAAAUACCCGAAGCCUGUGAGCUAACUGUAAAGAGGCAGCAGUCGAAGGUAGAGCCAAUGAUUGGGGUGAAGUCGUAACAAGGUAAC
This 213-nucleotide ribosomal RNA is filed under the name uncultured bacterium. Its description in RNAcentral is "partial 16S ribosomal RNA". It matches the Rfam family "Bacterial small subunit ribosomal RNA", at positions 1289 to 1500 of the family's 1533-position model. The record is from RNAcentral.